This 517-nucleotide ribosomal RNA is filed under the name uncultured bacterium. RNAcentral describes it as "partial 16S ribosomal RNA". The record is from RNAcentral.
AGCGACUGUGCAGGUUACCGCGGCUGCUGGCACGGAGUUAGCCGGUGCUUCUUCUGUGAGUGAUGUCCUUCCUGCCGGUUAUUGACCCGCAGGCCUUCUUCCUCACUGAAAGUGCUUUACAACCCGAAGGCCUUCUUCACACACGCGGCAUGGCUGGAUCAGGGUUGCCCCAUUGUCCAAUAUUCCCCACUGCUGCCUCCCGUAGGAGUCUGGGCCGUGUCUCAGUCCCAGUGUGGCUGAUCAUCCUCUCAGACCAGCUACGGAUCGUCGCCUUGGUGAGCCGUUACCUCACCAACCAGCUAAUCCGACAUAGGCUCAUCCGAUAGCGCGAGGCCCGAAGGUCCCCCGCUUUCCCCCGUAGGGCGUAUGUGGUAUUAGCCUGGGUUUCCCCAGGUUAUCCCCCACUACCGGGCAGAUUCCUAUGCAUUACUCACCCGUCCGCCGCUCGCCACCAGGGAGCAAGCUCCCCGUGCUGCCGCUCGACUUGCAUGUGUUAGGCCUGCCGCCAGCGUUCAAU